UUUUUCAUUCAUUCAUACUUGUUACAGGAAAGAAAAAGAAAGAAAGCACCGAGAGAGAAAGAAAACCGUGAGAGAGAAUGAGAGAAACUAUGGCACCGUGAAAUUCAUGGUUUUAAUUUCUUGAGAUUCGUAACUCUAAUUAAAAAUCUAAUUCGGUAAAAGUGUUCAUAUCUUCCUCCUUUAUGUGUUGGCGUUAUUUUUGUCCGGUGGAAGUCGACAGUGACGUAGCUUUCCUACCCCUUGAGCUUGGCCAACUGGAGUUCUACGAGGCAUGGAGGUUCCGGACGUUUUUCCUUUCAGCAGCUCGGUCAAAAAGUUUCUCUAAAGUUUUCGUUGAUUUUGAUUUCGUAUGAAGGUAGGGGAUUUAUUUUUAAAGAUAAACGUUUUUAAUUUAGAAUGCCUACAAAAUUAAUUGAAUAAUUGCAAAUAUAUCUAUAUAUAUAUAUAUUAAUAAUAGUAAUGUUAUUGAGUAUGGAUUAUUGCUAUGAAUGUGACUAUUUUCUGAUUAUUAAGAAUUUCGCUGAUUUGAGAAUUGUUGAGAUUUGAGAAUUGUUGAGAAAAAGGCUUAGUUAAGAAAAGAUUUACUCUAUUUUAAGGUUUGAUUUAUUAAGAAAAAUAUAAUGUUUUAAACCCAAUCUUUUAAGGAGAGAUUUUGUUUUAAGUAAAGAUUUGAGCUCGGUUUAUUAAGAAAAAGAAUCUCUGCCACAGGAGAGCAGAGAACAAGGAUUUAAAGAAUAUAUUAAUUAAUGAAGUGUCUACCACAGGAGAGCAAAUGUGACAUUGUUUGGGCCUUAGUGCCAAAUGUAAAGUGGGGACGCCCACACAUACACUGAGAACUGUUUUCCAGAUGUACGCUUAUUGAUUUGGAAAGUCACACUGAUGCGGCCUAGCCGUACGACUUAUAAGCACACUGAUGCAUCUGGAAAGCCAUACCUGGGACUUGUGCCUGGGUAACCGACACAUGAGCUCAUGGCCUGCGUUAGGGAUAGACAUGCAUCAUGUUGUUUGCACAUUUGUAUUUGAUUGCGCUUGCUUGUCUUAUUACUUUGUGAUUGUAUUGUUUGUCUUGUUGUGACUUGCUUGUACUUUGAAUUGAAUCUCUUGCUUGCACUACUUGUUUGUGAGAGUAUUUAAGUGAUUACGAGUUGACAUUUGACUGAGGAUUAAUAUGUGGUUGAGAGACAGAAAGUGUGACUAAUUUUAUAUUUAAGUUUUGUUUUGAGUUAAGAGAUUUUAAAAGGAGGUAAUUAAUUAUCUAAAGUAGAACCAAGAGUAUUUUCAAAGGGUUUGAUAAAAAUAUAUUUUUAUUGAGUAAAGUUAAUUAUUUGCAUUUUAUUCCAUUACUUUUACGGCAUUCCCAUUCCCUAUUGAGAACGUGUGGUUUGUUCUCACUCCAAAUCUUCCACCCUUUCAGUGACAGGUUUGAAGAUUCAAUAAGAAGCUGCAGACGAUUAGUAGAUUUACUUGUGAUUCCUGUUGUUUUUAUAGAGUUCCCUCGUUCUUGUUGCUUUAGCUUUUAUUUUAUCCAGAGGGAUAUGUAUUGUAUUUGAGUUUUACAUUGAAUCUAAUUGUAUAGCAUCU
Molecule: long non-coding RNA, 1581 nt
Filed under: Arachis ipaensis
Lineage: Eukaryota; Viridiplantae; Streptophyta; Magnoliopsida; Fabales; Fabaceae
Description: long non-coding RNA (AIPA_LNC002141)
Source: RNAcentral